RNAcentral lists this unclassified non-coding RNA (363 nucleotides) under uncultured bacterium. RNAcentral's name for it is "contains 16S-23S intergenic spacer region". The record is from RNAcentral.
UCCCUGUUACCAGGGCAGUCUGACUAGAAAAAUUCAACUAGCCACAAGGGUUGCGCUCGUUGAUGGACUUAACCAAACAUCUCACGACACGAGCUGACGACGGCCAUGCAACACCUGUCACUUGAUUCCCGAAGGCACUUUUUGCUUUCGCAAAAAUUCCAAGGAUGUCAAGCCUGGGUAAGGUUCUUCGCUUACCAUCGAAUUAAACAACACGCUCCACCGCUUGUGCGGGUCCCCGUCAAUUCCUUUAUGUUUUAGUCUUGCGACCGUACUCCACAGGCGGGAUGCUUAACGCGUUAGCUUCGCUACUACUCGGGUCGAUACGAAUAACAGCUAGCAUCCAUAGUUUACGGCGUGGACUAC